Molecule: ribosomal RNA, 479 nt
Filed under: uncultured bacterium
Lineage: Bacteria
Description: bacterial SSU rRNA
Rfam family: Bacterial small subunit ribosomal RNA
Source: RNAcentral
CAGGACGAACGCUGGCGGCGUGCCUAACACAUGCAAGUCGAACGGACGAGAGGAGCUUGCUCCUCAAGUUAGUGGCGGACGGGUGAGUAACACGUGAGCAACCUGCCCUUCGGAGGGGGACAACAGCUGGAAACGGCUGCUAAUACCGCAUAAUACAGUCUGGAGGCAUCUCCGGGCUGUCAAAGAUUUUAUCGCCGAAGGAUGGGCUCGCGUCUGAUUAGAUAGUUGGUGGGGUAACGGCUCACCAAGUCGACGAUCAGUAGCCGGACUGAGAGGUUGAACGGCCACAUUGGGACUGAGAUGCGGCCCAGACUCCUACGGGAGGCAGCAGUGGGGAAUAUUGGGCAAUGGGGGGCCAACCCUGACCCAGCAACGCCGCGUGGAGGAAGAAGGCUUUCGGGUUGUAAACUCCUUUGACGAGGGACGAUAGUGACGGUACCUCGAAAACAAGCCACGGCUAACUACGUGCCAGCAGCGGC